AUUGAACGCUGGCGGCAGGCCUAACACAUGCAAGUCGAGCGGAUGAAGGGAGCUUGCUCCUGGAUUCAGCGGCGGACGGGUGAGUAAUGCCUAGGAAUCUGCCUGGUAGUGGGGGAUAACGUCCGGAAACGGGCGCUAAUACCGCAUACGUCCUGAGGGAGAAAGUGGGGGAUCUUCGGACCUCACUCUAUCAGAUGAGCCUAGGUCGGAUUAGCUAGUUGGUGGGGUAAAGGCCUACCAAGGCGACGAUCCGUAACUGGUCUGAGAGGAUGAUCAGUCACACUGGAACUGAGACACGGUCCAGACUCCUACGGGAGGCAGCAGUGGGGAAUAUUGGACAAUGGGCGAAAGCCUAAUCCAGCCAUGCCGCGUGUGUGAAGAAGGUCUUCGGAUUGUAAAGCACUUUAAGUUGGGAGGAAGGGCAGUAAGUUAAUACCUUGCUGUUUUGACGUUACCAACAGAAUAAGCACCGGCUAACUUCGUG
RNAcentral lists this ribosomal RNA (484 nucleotides) under uncultured bacterium. RNAcentral's name for it is "partial 16S ribosomal RNA". It matches the Rfam family "Bacterial small subunit ribosomal RNA", at positions 30 to 507 of the family's 1533-position model. The record is from RNAcentral.